CACUGUCUGGCGAUCUUUGACAUGUGACUAUGCACUUCUGUAGUUUAGUUCAAUGUCUGAGAGACAUUCGAGGUCGGAUGCAUGUGACUUACGUCAGGAUCCAACAGAAAGCGUGAAGAAGAGAUGGAAUUUGCGAAAGGCAGACGGAAGGAUCAUCGUUUUCGCUAUGAGAAAUGGAAUUCACGUUACGUAAAGGCAAUCAACGAAGAAUUUGUUUGUAGUCACCUCCUGCAGUCACUGUCACGGUUCUCCAUAACCGAUGAAAGAGAAUGAUAUAUGUAGUCUGAAUAUGGUUUAGCCUGCCUUGUAUCUAGUCUUGAACCAGUAAACUGAGGUUCCGAAUUGGAAACCUGUAACAACUCCAUUGUAUAGUGUGCGAAUUAAUAUAUAUGUUAAGUGGUUUUUAGUUUUAAAUUUAAAUUACUUAAGCGUUAAAGCUAUUUAUGUAAACGGGAAGUGCAAAGAGAACUUGUAGUACCGGUACUUUAAAUCUUUACAUAAUAUUUAACUGCAUCUGUUGCCAGCCCAAUGUUGAUGUUUUUUAAUUUUAAAAUUUAGGGCUACCCAAGAAAAUUCCACAACAGUAUCUCCCUGUAUAAAUCUCACAUUGUAAUUUUUAUUCGCUUUUAAAUGACUUUGUUAGCAUUAUCAAAUUCAGAAAAUUGUCAUUAAUAUUUGAGCUUUAUUGAUACAUAACUUGUUUAAGUGAAGAUAAUAAAACGAAUGAAAAGUG
Long non-coding RNA from Schistocerca gregaria, 733 nucleotides. RefSeq lists it as uncharacterized. The record is from RefSeq and is a predicted model, not a curated record. Lineage: Eukaryota; Metazoa; Arthropoda; Insecta; Orthoptera; Acrididae. The transcript has 2 exons.